Molecule: long non-coding RNA, 924 nt
Organism: Zeugodacus cucurbitae (melon fly)
Lineage: Eukaryota; Metazoa; Arthropoda; Insecta; Diptera; Tephritidae
Exons: 3
Source: RefSeq, a predicted model, not a curated record
GCCAUCUACUGUAACAUAGCGCACUUAGCGCCACCAAGUGGUGGAUAGCUCUUUGCUAAUAAUAAACAAAUAAUUUGCAAUAAAUAAAUAAUGCGACUAUAAGGAGAGUUAUAAACUAUCCUAUCUUUCAAGUUGGACCAAACUGCCCACAGUGUUAAAAAUUUCAUUAAAAUCGGUUCAGUAGUUUAGGAGUCCAUCGAAAACAAACAACGUGACACAUAUUGAAAACACAAAGGCGUUAGGCGUCAAUUGGUAAUACCAAGUGAAGACAGGUCCUUCUCCACCAGGUUCUUCCAUCGGAGUGGAGGUUUCCCUCUUCCUCGGCUUCCACCGGCGGGUACCUCAUCGAAAACUUUGCCGUCUCAGUGCCGUCUCAUCGGAUGCUGACAUCGUCCACGCUCCUUGUAGAGUUUAGUUUUUGCUCAUCGAGAGAGGACUUUACUUUUUAAUUGCCUAAUCAGACCAUAAACACAAAUACUUUGCACAAAUGGAGGAUUACCAUAGCUACAACUUUUCUUAGGCAUGAUAAACAAUACAACAACAAAUCCCAUCGGACAUUUAGAUUAGCAGUUGCACAACCUCUUUCCGACGAGCUGAACCUUUUUAUGAUGUACAUAUGGGAUAGGAUUGUGUGGAAUUGGCAUCAAACAAUAUUGGUUCAUUAGUUUCGUUGCAUCCUUACAGGAUAGUUAUAAGGAAAUUAAAAUAUUAUUAAAUUAUACAAAUGAAUGUUCGAAUACUAAUAACAUUCGUAAUAGUAAUGGAAUUAUAUUUGAAUUGUAUAACAACAACUACAAAAAAUAAAAAUAUAAUAAUUAAUACUAAAUUUAUAUAUGAAAUAUGUUAAAAGUAAAAAUUUAAUAAUUAAUACUAACUUUAUUUUUAAAAUAUGUAAAUUUUGUCAAUGCAUAAAUAUAAAUGUGU